GACGAACGCUGGCGGCGUGCUUAACACAUGCAAGUCGAGCGGUAAGGCCCUUUCGGGGGUACACGAGCGGCGAACGGGUGAGUAACACGUGGGUGACCUGCCCUCAGCUCUGGGAUAAGCCUGGGAAACCGGGGUCUAAUACUGGAUAUGACUCCAUGACGCAUGUUGUGGGGUGGAAAGCCUUGUGCGGCUGAGGAUGGGCCCGCGGCCUAUCAGCUUGUUGGUGGGGUGAUGGCCUACCAAGGCGACGACGGGUAGCCGGCCUGAGAGGGCGACCGGCCACACUGGGACUGAGACACGGCCCAGGACUCCUACGGGAGGCAGCAGUGGGGAAUCUUGCGCAAUGGGCGAAAGCCUGACGCAGCGACGCCGCGUGAGGGAUGACGGCC
RNAcentral lists this ribosomal RNA (389 nucleotides) under uncultured bacterium. RNAcentral's name for it is "bacterial SSU rRNA". It matches the Rfam family "Bacterial small subunit ribosomal RNA", at positions 28 to 416 of the family's 1533-position model. The record is from RNAcentral.